AAUGUCUCACUGAUAUCAUGGAGUAAAAAUCCUUAAUGAAACAACUAUUUGCAUUGGCUCAACAUCAGACAGAUUUACUUCAAUUUUCAUGUUAUCCCUGUGAAGAUUUGAAGUGAAAAUGAAAGCUGUGUGCAAACAGUGUCCAUUCAAAAAUCAUAAGGCAAUUGAGGAAGCACAGUAUAAGACAAGUGUUGCAGCAUAUCACUGCUAUUUCAUAUUUUAUGAAGAAGAUAUUUCCUCCACACUUAAAGCACAGCUCUGGCAUAACUGACAGUAAGAUUAUAAUUAGAGAGCAAAAAUAAAUGUCAUUUUAGACAAGUUAUGCUUUGGAAUAAGUUUUUUUCAGCUAAAUUAAAAUUACAAAUAAAUAAUCACUCUAUGUGAAAUAGUAAAAUAAAUUAGUGUCUACUUCUUCCAGUAGAACACCCCAUGAUCUCCCAUCCUUUUCCUUCCAUGCAUCUUCUCUAUACAGCCAGUUUUUUGCAAGAUUGCUUCUGUAGUACUAAGAUACAAAUUUGACAUGUAAGAGCAAAGAUAGAUAAAUACAAAAAACCCCAUUGAAACCGACACACAUGAUCUGUAUGACAUUUUGAUAUAGUGAACACACAGCAAGAAUUACUGGCAUUUAGCCAAGUUUUUUAAAACUACUUAAAAAUUAGGUCAAGUGUUUCCUUUUUUUAUACAUACUUAGGAAGAAGUGUUUGCAGAUUUGCAAACAGACCGUUUUCAUAUUUAUUUUCCCCUCUUGCUAAACAGAGUAAAAAAAGAAUUCUGAAGAUAUAGGAAGUUAACAGAAAAAAAAUUAUGGCAGGCUUUCACAGCACAAAAACUGCUUUGCAUGAUAACAUUUAGUUCCCAGCCUUCCUCAGACAACAGGUUACUUAUUCUCUUAAGCCAAGUUAAGGUCUUGUGCUGAUUUUCCAUGACUAUACAUGGUAGAAAGAGCAUCUCACUGCUGUUAGUUACACUUUGUAAACCUUUCAGAAAACAAUGUCAGUUUGCACUUCAUGAAGAGAACUAAAACACAGACACGCAGGCAGAAACACUAGGACUGCUUCACUUUGCCUGUAUCCAACUUUCUGCUGCAUCUUAAUUCAACUGGGUGUUAUAAAAUUAUUUGUAAGCAUGAAAGAAAAGUUAAUUACCCACGAAGCUGCUUCUGAUGCCAAGAAAAUUGCAUUAGAUAACAAGUUAAAUCUACAGAAGUUUACAACACAAAGAGAAAGGUUCACAGCAAUUUUCUUUUUGAUUCACAAGAACCAAGCCAGCCCAUACAUAAAAGAUCCUCUGAUGUAAAGAUCUCUCUGCAACUAGCAACAGUUGAAAAUGAAGACACUUGUGGCCAAUUUAUAUAUUGCCUGUGCCCAAAUUCUUUACACAUGAAGCACUGGCCAAAUACACCCUGCUGCACAGAAUCUGAGAUUUGUGGCUUAAGCCACAAACACCUGUUUCCAAAAAACUCAUGUUAAACGCUUGGCCCACACCUUAUAUAAAUCAGUGCAUUAAGAGUAAUUACAUGACAGCUCAGGUUGACACACUGGAUGGAUUUGAGGGAAAACUGGAAGACAAGAUUGUCAUGCUGUAGGUUGUUCAGAGCUCCAUGUCCUGCUCCUUGCUCCCUUUCUGUGUGCCUCUUCCGCAGCAGGAGAAAUGCAGCUCAGUGAUGUGGCUCUUGCCUAUCUGUGUCCCUGUCUGAGCUGGGAUAGAAAAUUCAGCUGAAAGUCAGAAAGUUCA
Molecule: long non-coding RNA, 1734 nt
Filed under: Taeniopygia guttata (zebra finch)
Lineage: Eukaryota; Metazoa; Chordata; Aves; Passeriformes; Estrildidae
Description: lncRNA (ENSTGUG00000023745.1)
Source: RNAcentral